AGUGAACGCUGGCGGUAGGCCUAACACAUGCAAGUCGAACGGCAGCACAGUAAGAGCUUGCUCUUACGGGUGGCGAGUGGCGGACGGGUGAGGAAUACAUCGGAAUCUACUUUUUCGUGGGGGAUAACGUAGGGAAACUUACGCUAAUACCGCAUACGACCUACGGGUGAAAGCAGGGGAUCUUCGGACCUUGCGCGAUUGAAUGAGCCGAUGUCGGAUUAGCUAGUUGGCGGGGUAAAGGCCCACCAAGGCGACGAUCCGUAGCUGGUCUGAGAGGAUGAUCAGCCACACUGGAACUGAGACACGGUCCAGACUCCGACGGGAGGCAGCAGUGGGGAAUAUUGGACAAGGGGCGCAAGCCUGAUCCAGCCAUACCGCGUGGGUGAAGAAGGCCUUCGGGUUGUAAAGCCCUUUUGUUGGGAAAGAAAAGCAGCAGGUUAAGACCCCGCUGUUCUGACGGUACCCAAAGAAUAAGCACCGGCGAACUUCGU
RNAcentral lists this ribosomal RNA (491 nucleotides) under uncultured bacterium. RNAcentral's name for it is "partial 16S ribosomal RNA". It matches the Rfam family "Bacterial small subunit ribosomal RNA", at positions 29 to 506 of the family's 1533-position model. The record is from RNAcentral.